UUUUUCUCUGUUGUGGUGGGUUUAUUCUUUUUCACUGGAUCUAUCGAUUUUUGGCUCAAAAGGGACGUGGGUUUUGUUGUUUUCGAAACGGGUUUUGUCGAGUUUGUAGUUUUGGAAACGGGUUUUGUGGAAUUUGCAGUUUUGGAAGUGGGUUUUGUGGAAUUCGUAGUUUUGGAAGUGAGUUUUGUGGAAUUCGACGGUUUUAAUGUCGAAUUCAAUGGUUUAGAGGUGGGUUUUGUAAGAUUCAAAGGUUUUGAAGUCGAAUUAAGCUUCUUCACAAUAGGUUUCUCUUGAAGUUUAGUGGCUUUGGUCGAGGUUUUAUU
Molecule: long non-coding RNA, 323 nt
Filed under: Lactuca sativa (garden lettuce)
Lineage: Eukaryota; Viridiplantae; Streptophyta; Magnoliopsida; Asterales; Asteraceae
Description: long non-coding RNA (LSAT_LNC004365)
Source: RNAcentral